RNAcentral lists this ribosomal RNA (253 nucleotides) under uncultured bacterium. RNAcentral describes it as "partial 16S ribosomal RNA". It matches the Rfam family "Bacterial small subunit ribosomal RNA", at positions 524 to 776 of the family's 1533-position model. The record is from RNAcentral.
UACGUAGGGUGCAAGCGUUGUCCGGAAUUAUUGGGCGUAAAGAGCUCGUAGGCGGUUUGUCGCGUCGGCUGUGAAAACUCGGGGCUCAACCCCGAGCCUGCAGUCGAUACGGGCAGACUAGAGUGCUGUAGGGGAGACUGGAAUUCCUGGUGUAGCGGUGAAAUGCGCAGAUAUCAGGAGGAACACCGGUGGCGAAGGCGGGUCUCUGGGCAGUAACUGACGCUGAGGAGCGAAAGCGUGGGGAGCAAACGGG